Long non-coding RNA from Dreissena polymorpha, 909 nucleotides. RefSeq lists it as uncharacterized. The record is from RefSeq and is a predicted model, not a curated record. Lineage: Eukaryota; Metazoa; Mollusca; Bivalvia; Myida; Dreissenidae. The transcript is spliced from 2 exons.
GGACGAUUACACGUAUACAAUCGGCAGACUAUUUGACAUACACGCUCAGUUACAGCAUUGCGACUAGGGCACUAGUUGGGAAGUAAGUGUCCGCAGCAUACGGCAUUUUGCCGUUUCAAUGUUGUGAUUCGUACGGCAUGAUAGACGUCAGGUCUUCAACGCACCGUUAGCGUUACGCCAGUGCUACAUGAGCAUCCGCAAGUCUACAGGUCGUCAUACUCGUUGACAGUACCUACGACACCUCGUUAUAAGGCGGCAAUACUGGGAACCGUUCGCACCGGUAUACGGCCGGUCACGUGAUACGUCUCAAAUACGUUCUACUUCCAGGCAUAGUCUGCUCGGUGUUUGACAGAACACUACUUCCGGGCUUGAUACAGCUCGGGUAUCGCAGUCUUCUUCCGGGCAUAGUCUGCUCGGGUAUCUACAGUCUACUUCUGGGCUUGAUACUGCUCUGGUAUCUACAGUCUACUUCUGGGCUUGAUACAGCUCGGGUAUCUACAGUCUACUUCUGGGCUUGAUACAGCUCGGGUAUCUACAGUCUACUUCUGGCCUUGAUACAGCUCGGGUAUCUACAGUCUUUUUCUAGGCUUGAUACAGCUCGGGAUAUCUGCACAAUACUUUCGGGCUUUAUACAGCUCGAAGUUUGCUACUUCGCAGAACACUACGACCGAUGCUCAGUUCUGGUCAUUGGCGGCUGGACAUAAGUUCAGGUCGUGACACUCAAUACUACUCCACCACUACAUCUACCGUUCGAAUUUAUCAUCUACAAAUGGACUACGUCAAAUAAUACUUGAAUAUUGGAAUUUUAACUGGCCAUUAACUUUGAUACUUUGUUGUUUAUUUCUUUUUAUAGUCCUUUCAUAUUGUAAAUAGUUUAUUUUAAUGUUGUAAAUAAAUUGAUUUAUUGUU